This is a long non-coding RNA of Varanus komodoensis (Komodo dragon), 2244 nucleotides long. RefSeq lists it as uncharacterized. Lineage: Eukaryota; Metazoa; Chordata; Lepidosauria; Squamata; Varanidae. The transcript is spliced from 3 exons. The record is from RefSeq and is a predicted model, not a curated record.
AGUCUGGAGCGACGGCCCUUCCUUUACUGACUUUGAUGUCAAGCACCCUAGAUUACCUGAAGUUGGGGGGCUGAUUGACGGAGCUCUGUUCGUGCACAGCAUCUGGCUUCCAUAACUGGAGGCGGUCCCAUUGGGAUGGAAGAGAUGGCUAGAAAACACAGGAAGAUAUCUGGAACUCUCCCCCAUAAAACUGUGUGUAUGAGGCAAGGAAAUUACAGGUUAAAAAGCUUGUCUGGAAGCAUCCAGAACCAGAGAUUCAUCUGUACAUCGAGCUCCAUCUGGAACACCUUGCAUAAGCAGGACUACGUCUACAAAUCUCUCUCAAUCUCUACAGUGCUAACUGUGCAGUCUGCACAACAAAUCCUCCUGCACAUGAUUCCACAUGGAGAGUCUUUUCUGUCUGAGGGAUCACAUGAAGAACCUGUGCUUAUCAUGGCAUAAGGUGAGGCAAAGAUGGAACAGCAAUUUCAUGCAUGGAAUUUCUCUGCACAUGCGAAGGCUGCAAAGUGGAGCAGAGUCUGCCAGGGUUUCAAAGUCUUUGAGGGAGGCCCUCCUCUUGAUCCUGCUACAUGAGAGACAUGAUUCAAGGGUCUUUGAACGGGAGGCCUUUCCUACAUUUCCCAGGCUCUGGAACUCUUGCUGAGAAAGGCUGGGCUGCCCCCCUCUCUUUUGUCCUGAUGGCAAACAAAGGCCUUUUUAUUGAGGCAUGACUUUGGCUUGCACUCUUUUCUGAAGCAGAAUGGGAUUUAACUGGCUGAUGCUCUCUAUUUCUUCUGUUAUGUUUUUAACUGGCCAAUGCUCUCUAUUUCUUCUUUGUUAUGUUUUAACUGUGUUUUCAGGAAUCUGUUUUAUGUUAUGUUUUAAUUAACAUAAUAGUUUUCAUGCUGUAUUAUUUCUGGCCAACUUGAUCUUCAUUUUUGGCAGAAAAUUUGAGUAUCAGUUAAAUGAAUAAAAUAUGUGGUUACAUGCCAGCAGCUCUUAGGCAUGAAAUAUGGUAUCCAGUCGUCAUAAUCUAGCAGGACUGGGAGAAAUGACAAUAAUCCAGACUCCUUCAAUGGUAAGAAUUCUCCAGUCUUAAAGCAUCUCUGACAGAUAUUUAUCCUUUCUCCUUUUAAAGGCAUGCCAGAGGAGAACAGUCCCAUUCCUGUUAGGAUCUUGUCCCCGAUACCCUGACUAGGACUUCAGUCCUACAGUAUACAAACAGACACAGAAGUAACUCCCAUUGACCUUACUGGGGCAUGCUUCAGAAUACAUCUGUAAUGUGUUGAACUGCACUAUAAAACUACUCUGCAGCUACCUGAGUCUGUUGUUUCUUGUUCCUGUCUGGUGGAAAGAGAUUUACAAAAAAUUGCUGCCACAUCUCUUUAAUUCAUUACUUGAUGCCAAAUAUGUCCAGUUAUUUCAGGCUUUUUCUCAUAUUUCCUACAUUCCCUAUUCUUUAUCUACGUCACUUCUUUGAAUGCACUAUGAAAUGGACAGCAUAUACCAUCUGAGACCUAAUCUCUGCCAGAUAAAACAUAUUACAUCCUGCUUCUUGCACAUGGCACAUCUGCUCAUGGUAUUAUGCUACACCGUUGUUCAGGGUAGAUUUUUGCAGCUGCUACUGGUGGUAUCUUCUUGCCUACAGUACUUGACAUGGAUCAACAUUUUUGCAUACCACUCCAAGCAGAGAUUCUCUGGCACUCACAAAAGCAUGCAAAGAGUAAGUGUGAGCAAGCAUGGUAUUAUAGGCUAGAUACGGUCAUCAGGAUUGGCCUUUGCCCACCCCACAGUUCAAUCUAACCUCACAAAGUGUGGUGCCAUGGCCCAACCCUUCCCACUAAAUCUACACCCAUUCUGCAUUUAUGUCCUCAGGGGUUCCCACCCCCGCAACCUUUUCACUAAAAAGUUAAAUCUCAUGUAUAGCUCUACAAACUGAUGCUCCAGUUCGGCAAGGUCAUUUUGAUUUUCCAUCAUGUCCCUGUGGUAUUUGGAGUCCCAGUUUUGUAUAAUCUGCUGAUCUGAUAAGCAUUAUGUCAGCUCCUUCUCUCAAGUAAUUAGUGGAAUCCUUGAGCAGCAACCAGACUUGUGGUACACUGUGCUACAUCUCUCUUACCAACAGUAGUAGCAACACAGAGAAAACUUCUACUUCAGGGAGACAGACUGUCAUGGAACACUGUUCCUCCCCUGCUAGUGCUUGCAAUUAAGAGUGGCUUUCCAACAAAUUGGAUGCCCAUCAUAUAACCUGUUUUUCUCAUAUUUACC